CAUUCUCCCGCCUCUUUUUUUUUUUUUUUUUAACUUUUUGGGCCGAACGUGGCCAUCGAGAAAGUGCAACGUGUUCAGUUAGCGUUUGGGACGAAUGGACCACGGCUGCAGCUUGAAGGCAUCUUUUCGCUUCAUUGAAGACUUGAUGGGACCGAGGCCUCAGGAGGACAAGGAGUGUAACGAAGGCGGCCACAGUGACCUCAGGGUCCUUCCUCCCGUCGAAGGCCUCGUCACCCCCCCGCCUGCCCAGUGUUCAGACUACCUGUUCAUCCGGCUAAAGCUGAACAGUAGUCUGCACAUUGGUUAGGCUGGGCUGGGACACACACACGCGCACACAUCUUACCUCCUCGUCUUUGUACCAGGACAAGGCCUCUGCUGUAAGGAUGAACCAGUACUCCUUGGAGCCCCCCUUCAUGAUGCUGAUGUUGAUCGUUAGCCAGCCUUUCCUGAUCACCUGAUCAGGGGAAUAGGUAAAAAGAAGAUUGUCAGGGUGGAAGAAAACGGCUUUGUAACGUGAGGAGCCUGACUGCAUGAUUGGUCCUAAGAUGUGAAUGACACUAAUAAAAGCUUACCGACUUA
Nerophis ophidion (straightnose pipefish) is the source of this 579-nucleotide long non-coding RNA. RefSeq lists it as uncharacterized. The transcript has 2 exons. The record is from RefSeq and is a predicted model, not a curated record. NCBI's taxonomy places the organism in Eukaryota, Metazoa, Chordata, Actinopteri, Syngnathiformes, Syngnathidae.